This 468-nucleotide ribosomal RNA is filed under the name uncultured bacterium. RNAcentral describes it as "partial 16S ribosomal RNA". It matches the Rfam family "Bacterial small subunit ribosomal RNA", at positions 28 to 507 of the family's 1533-position model. The record is from RNAcentral.
GACGAACGCUGGCGGCGUGCUUAACACAUGCAAGUCGAACGGAAAGGCCCUGCUUUUGUGGGGUGCUCGAGUGGCGAACGGGUGAGUAACACGUGAGUAACCUGCCCUUGACUUUGGGAUAACUUCAGGAAACUGGGGCUAAUACCGGAUAGGAGCUCCUGCUGCAUGGUGGGGGUUGGAAAGUUUCGGCGGUUGGGGAUGGACUCGCGGCUUAUCAGCUUGUUGGUGGGGUAGUGGCUUACCAAGGCUUUGACGGGUAGCCGGCCUGAGAGGGUGACCGGCCACAUUGGGACUGAGAUACGGCCCAGACUCCUACGGGAGGCAGCAGUGGGGAAUAUUGCACAAUGGGCGGAAGCCUGAUGCAGCAACGCCGCGUGCGGGAUGACGGCCUUCGGGUUGUAAACGGCUUUCGCCUGUGACGAAGCGUGAGUGACGGUAAUGGGUAAAGAAGCACCGGCUAACUACGUG